Molecule: ribosomal RNA, 515 nt
Filed under: uncultured bacterium
Lineage: Bacteria
Description: bacterial SSU rRNA
Rfam family: Bacterial small subunit ribosomal RNA
Source: RNAcentral
AGUCGAGCGGUAGAGAGGUGCUUGCACCUCUUGAGAGCGGCGGACGGGCGAGUAAAGCCUAGGAAUCUGCCUGGUAGUGGGGGAUAACGCUCGGAAACGGACGCUAAUAUCGCAUACGUCCUACGGGAGAAAGCAGGGGACCUUCGGGCCUUGCGCUAUCAGAUGAGCCUAGGUCGGAUUAGCUAGUUGGUGAGGUAAUGGCUCACCAAGGCGACGAUCCGUAACUGGUCUGAGAGGAUGAUCAGUCACACUGGAACUGAGACACGGUCCAGACUCCUACGGGAGGCAGCAGUGGGGAAUAUUGGACAAUGGGCGAAAGCCUGAUCCAGCCAUGCCGCGUGUGUGAAGAAGGUCUUCGGAUUGUAAAGCACUUUAAGUUGGGAGGAAGGGCAUUAACCUAAUACGUUAGUGUUUUGACGUUACCGACAGAAUAAGCACCGGCUAACUCUGUGCCAGCAGCCGCGGUAAUACAGAGGGUGCAAGCGUUAAUCGGAAUUACUGGGCGUAAAGCGCGC